UACGAAGGGGGCGAGCGUUGUUCGGAAUUACUGGGCGUAAAGGGCGCGCAGGCGGCUCUGAAAGUCAGAUGUGAAAGCCCCGGGCUUAACCUGGGAACUGCAUUUGAUACUCUGGAGCUUGAGUACGGGAGAGGAUAGUGGAAUUCCCAGUGUAGAGGUGAAAUUCGUAGAUACCCGGAGGAACACCAGUGGCGAAGGCGGCUUCCUGGUCUGCGACUGACGCUGUGGCGCGAAAGCUAGGGGAGCAAACGGG
This 253-nucleotide ribosomal RNA is filed under the name uncultured bacterium. RNAcentral describes it as "partial 16S ribosomal RNA". It matches the Rfam family "Bacterial small subunit ribosomal RNA", at positions 524 to 776 of the family's 1533-position model. The record is from RNAcentral.